This is a non-coding RNA of Mycena epipterygia, 96 nucleotides long. Lineage: Eukaryota; Fungi; Basidiomycota; Agaricomycetes; Agaricales; Mycenaceae. The record is from the annotation of a GenBank genome assembly.
UCGGGCAUGGUGCAUGGAACAUCGCGGGGCUCUUUAGGAAGUCGUUCAAAGUGAUAUGCCACCCCGCGGACCGGGGUUCGACUCCCCGCGCCUGAA